This 296-nucleotide ribosomal RNA is filed under the name Enterobacter sp. RL-S. RNAcentral describes it as "partial 16S ribosomal RNA". It matches the Rfam family "Bacterial small subunit ribosomal RNA", at positions 202 to 482 of the family's 1533-position model. The record is from RNAcentral. Lineage: Bacteria; Pseudomonadati; Pseudomonadota; Gammaproteobacteria; Enterobacterales; Enterobacteriaceae.
AUGAGGGCGACCUUCGGGCCUCUCACUNUCGGAUGAACCCAGANCGGAUUAGUUAGUAGGCGGGGUAAUGGCCCACCUAGGCGCCGAUCCCUAGCUGGUCUGAGAGGAUGACCAGCCACACUGGAACUGAGACCCGGUCCAGACUCCUACGGGAGGCAGCAGUGGGGAAUAUUGCACAAUGGGCGCAAGCCUGAUGCAGGCAUGCCGCGUGUAUGAAGAAGGCCUUCGGGUUGUCUUAAAGGGGGCAGCGGGGAGGAAGGCGACGGGGUUAAUAACCCUGUCGAUGACGUACCCGC